UCCCUGAUAGCUCAGUUGGUAAAGAAUCUGCCUGCAAUGCAGGAAAUCCAGUUGGAAUUCUGGGUCAGGGAA
Molecule: transfer RNA, 72 nt
Filed under: Ovis aries (sheep)
Lineage: Eukaryota; Metazoa; Chordata; Mammalia; Artiodactyla; Bovidae
Rfam family: tRNA
About the family: Transfer RNA (tRNA) molecules are approximately 80 nucleotides in length. Their secondary structure includes four short double-helical elements and three loops (D, anti-codon, and T loops). Further hydrogen bonds mediate the characteristic L-shaped molecular structure. tRNAs have two regions of fundamental functional importance: the anti-codon, which is responsible for specific mRNA codon recognition, and the 3' end, to which the tRNAs corresponding amino acid is attached (by aminoacyl-tRNA synthetases). tRNAs cope with the degeneracy of the genetic code in two manners: having more than one tRNA (with a specific anti-codon) for a particular amino acid; and 'wobble' base-pairing, i.e. permitting non-standard base-pairing at the 3rd anti-codon position.
Source: Rfam by way of RNAcentral